Long non-coding RNA from Apis mellifera (honey bee), 1268 nucleotides. RefSeq lists it as uncharacterized. Lineage: Eukaryota; Metazoa; Arthropoda; Insecta; Hymenoptera; Apidae. The record is from RefSeq and is a predicted model, not a curated record. The transcript has 3 exons.
UUAAAAAUGUACGUUGAGGUUCGGGAUAGAUCGGGAGAAUUCGGGCGGCAUCGGACGUAAUCACAAUUCUUUCGUAUUAUUCGGGAUUUCUAGACUCAAUUCGGCUCAAAGGUAAAGCGGAUCGUCUGAUUUCGGCUUGGUUCGAUGAAAGUCGGAUGCAAUCGGUUCUAUGGCCCGAGAUUCGACUAUUGAAGGUACAUAAUACGUUUCAUUUCAUUUUAUAAGACGUAGUUAAAGUUUUCUCGAGUCCGAAAAAUAUUCAAGCAUCGUUAAAUGAAGGUUAAGAGGUAUUUUCGCUUUCAACAAUCCAAUUUUACAAACAAGAGAAACAAAUUAUUUUAAUAACUCGUUUGAAGAUCUCUACAACUCAAUUCAACUCGAAGAAUUUCAAAUAAAGUCUUUGAAGUACUGAAGUUCUCUUCGUAAGAGGCGAAGCAUGGAAGAGACGCGGUUCUCCUGUUCACUUCCAUAUAAAACCCUCCUAUAUACGCGUACACGGAACAGUGACCAGCUUGGCAGUGCUUGGACCGAUCGAUUUUUCAGUAUUUCCGCGUGUAUCGAUACCCUCUCUCGUCCGCGGUUCCCUUUUUUUUUUCCCCCCUCCCUCUUUCAUUCCCUUUCCUCCGCCAAGUCAUACCACUCUCCAACCUUUGCUAAAUGGAUUAUCAUCGUUGGGGAUUUUGAGCGUCGGUCUUUGACGUAACGAGAACGACGAGUGCGAGAAACGGUGGCGCGAGUUCGAAGGCAAGGCGCGCAUGUCGAUGCUCAAGGCAGCCAAUGGACUGGUUGAAAUAUUAAACGGGAGCAAAGACCCUGUUCUCGUGCACCACGUAGCCAUGGUUCAAUUUCUACGCCGGCGGCGGCGGCCUAGGUGUGGGGGAGAGGGGUUGAAUGAAAAUAGACGACGACACAGGGUGAAACGAGGUGGGUGGCGGUUGGGAUAGAGACGAUGGGAGAGUCGAGAGUUAGGAUUUCGACGACACUACCAGCGACAUCUACAUUUCGCGACUGGCUGCAGGGACGCAAAAAGAAGAGGGACGCCUCCCCCACCAUUCGGCCGCGCAUGCGCAAUUUGUGAAAUCUCGGCCUGCAUUCGAAGUAUAAUAUGAGGAAAUUUGCCGCUUACUCUGUAUAUAAUGGUUCCAAAUCGUUUGGAAAAUUAGCGUAAUGCAUUGGUUACGUGACAAAUAUUUCUGCUUCUGGAGUGUAGGUUGGUAUAAUAUGUUCGUUAAAAUUUUUAGAUUGAUUGAAUUGAAUUUUUUAAUUGA